GGAGGGUAUAGCUUAGUGGUAGAGCAUUCGACUGCAGAUUGAGAGGUUCCCGGUUCAAACCCGCGUGCCUCCU
Molecule: transfer RNA, 73 nt
Filed under: Trichonephila inaurata madagascariensis
Lineage: Eukaryota; Metazoa; Arthropoda; Arachnida; Araneae; Nephilidae
Description: tRNA-Cys
Rfam family: tRNA
About the family: Transfer RNA (tRNA) molecules are approximately 80 nucleotides in length. Their secondary structure includes four short double-helical elements and three loops (D, anti-codon, and T loops).
Source: RNAcentral